RNAcentral lists this long non-coding RNA (247 nucleotides) under Gossypium barbadense (sea-island cotton). Its description in RNAcentral is "long non-coding RNA (GBAR_LNC020160)". Lineage: Eukaryota; Viridiplantae; Streptophyta; Magnoliopsida; Malvales; Malvaceae. The record is from RNAcentral.
UUACUUGUCGUCGUUCUGUCUUAGAUGGAUAUUGCCUGUAGUAGUUCGAAGCAACGUGUCUCAGGCAAUACCUAUGGUGUGUAUGCUACCACAAGCUUCCCUCUCGAUCAAAUGCAGCUAGUAUACCGGCGCCCCGAUCUGAAAUAACACAGAUAUCAGGUUGGGGGCACACAUGCCUCCUUAACCUAGAGAGAAAGAAAUCUCAGUCAUCAGACGACUCCCCCGGUGUUAUUGCAUAUGUAAUUGG